Molecule: ribosomal RNA, 936 nt
Filed under: Triticum aestivum (bread wheat)
Lineage: Eukaryota; Viridiplantae; Streptophyta; Magnoliopsida; Poales; Poaceae
Description: partial small subunit ribosomal RNA
Source: RNAcentral
AUGGUUUGUGUCAAGUCAGUCAAAUAUUCUGUCAAAUUCAAUGGACAACUGCUUGAGAGUUUUAUCCCUUCUAGAGGACUGAGGCAAGGUGACCCUUUAUCACCGUUCUUAUUUAUUUUUGUUGCUGAUGCCCUAUCUGCUUUAUUCUCAAAAUCAGUGGAGGAAGGGCCCCUGAAGGGUGUGUCUAUCUGUCGUGGUGCACCAGUUAUUUCUCACCUACUUUUUGCGGAUGAUACUAUGUUGAUGUUUGAAGCGUCUGGCCAGCAAGCGAGCAUUGUCAAGGGACUGUUGAACACUUAUACUUCAGCAACAGGUCAGCUCAUUAACCCAGAGAAGUGUUCCAUUCUUUUUUCAGACAAUUGCUCGACUGUGGAGGUAGAUGAAAUCAAGAGCACACUUGAGGUUACGCAACAGGUGUUUGAGCCAAAGUAUCUUGGUCUUCCGGUUCCGGAAGGUAGAGUGCAUAAGGGGCAAUUUGAAUCACUACAGGAAAGACUGAGGAAGAGAUUAAUUGAUUGGAGUGAGCAAUAUGUCUCAUCGGGGAAUAAAGAAAUCUUGAUCAAGGCGGUGGCAAAAGCAAUCCCCAUGUAUGUUAUGAGUGUUUUUCGGCUACCGGCUUCUGUGUGUGAUGAUCUAACACAUAUGAUGAGACAGUACUGGUGGGGAGUUGAACAAGGCAAGAGGAAAAUGGCUUGGCUUAGUUGGGAGAAAAUGAUUCUGCCCAAGGACAUGGGAGGCAUGGGAUUCAGAGAUAUGAGGGCUUUUAACCAGGCAUUACUUGCAAAGCAAGCAUGGAGAUUGCUCGAUAGCCCGGACAGCUUAUGUGCACGCCUACUCCAGGCGAAAUAUUAUCCCAAUGGGAAUCUGCUCGAUACAGUUUUCCCAUCUAGCUCGUCGGCUGUGUGGAAGGGAAUUAUGUUUGGACUUGAGCUGUUG